This 376-nucleotide ribosomal RNA is filed under the name uncultured bacterium. Its description in RNAcentral is "bacterial SSU rRNA". It matches the Rfam family "Bacterial small subunit ribosomal RNA", at positions 524 to 898 of the family's 1533-position model. The record is from RNAcentral.
UACGAAGGGUGCAAGCGUUACUCGGAAUUACUGGGCGUAAAGCGUGCGUAGGCGGUUCGUUAAGUCAGAUGUGAAAGCCCCGGGCUCAACCUGGGAAUUGCAUUUGAUACUGGCGGGCUAGAGUACGGUAGAGGGUGGUGGAAUUCCCGGUGUAGCAGUGAAAUGCGUAGAGAUCGGGAGGAACAUCUGUGGCGAAGGCGGCCACCUGGACCAGUACUGACGCUGAGGCACGAAAGCGUGGGGAGCAAACAGGAUUAGAUACCCUGGUAGUCCACGCCCUAAACGAUGCGAACUGGACGUUGGGCUCAACUAGGAGCUCAGUGUCGAAGCUAACGCGUUAAGUUCGCCGCCUGGGGAGUACGGUCGCAAGACUGAA